AUCCUCGUAGCCUGGGCUCUGGGCGCGCAAGACCCUCAGGGCCAGCGGGAAGUUAGGUGACUUGGGACCCCCUUCCCCCCCCCCCCCCCCCACGCGAGAGUCUUCCACCAAAGGCCUGGGACGCUGGGGUCCCAGACCUUGUUUGGUAUUGAUCCGGAAAGUGAACCGAAAGUUUAUUCAAAGCAAAUAAUGCUUUCAGCCUGUUUCCCAUUUGUGCCCAGCACCAGGGCUCCUGAGUAUGCCUUGUUGCUCUGAGCCCACCAGAGAGCAUCUGAGCGCACCUGCACCCUGUCUCUAGAACUUGCCAUCCUGUGGGCUCUGUGUGUCUACCCUAAGAAGACAUUCCUUUGCAUCUUCCUGAUGCACUUCCUUGACUCCCGUGUACCACAGCCUCUGCCCCCAGGCCAUGGCCUGUGGUUCCUCUCUCUCAUCCAUUUUCCAGAGUGUGUGCAGGAUAAAGUCCCUGGUCUGGUUUUCUGAGGAGGGUAGCGAAGACUACAACUCUGAUGUGCAUUCCUGCCGUUGGACAACGGGUUUGCCCCUGUAAACCAGCGGAAUCGGGUCACUUCCACUUUCCCUUGUCUUUUUAGGUGUGCGAAAGCAACAGGGAACACAGUGCUUCAUGUCCAGCAUUGAGGCUAGUCUUAGGGUCAGUGUGACCUGCCCAUAUCGUCAAGAACCUUGAAUAGUGCAAACAGAUACUGCCCUUGCCUCUGGAGGAACAAUAGGACAAGUGCCUCUUCCAUCUCCUCCAUACAGAAGAUCAGACUGCACCCGUAUCCUCACAGGGAGUCUGCUAGGAUCUCCAGUGUGUUCCACCUCUCGGCAUCUCUGUAUUGCAUCACCUUAUAUCAAUGUCUUUUAAGGCAUGGCUCUGUGCACACCCACCAUCACUGUUUUCCUGGUGGUGUGGGCAGUGUGCUUUGUUUCUGCCAUUUCAUUAUUUGGGAAGCAAAAAGUCCCCUGUUUUGCAUUUUCUCCAUUAAAAAUAUAUCA
This is a long non-coding RNA of Mus musculus (house mouse), 996 nucleotides long. RefSeq annotates it as predicted gene, 35471. Lineage: Eukaryota; Metazoa; Chordata; Mammalia; Rodentia; Muridae. The record is from RefSeq and is a predicted model, not a curated record. The transcript is spliced from 3 exons.